RNAcentral lists this long non-coding RNA (502 nucleotides) under Daucus carota (carrot). Its description in RNAcentral is "long non-coding RNA (DCAR_LNC002884)". Lineage: Eukaryota; Viridiplantae; Streptophyta; Magnoliopsida; Apiales; Apiaceae. The record is from RNAcentral.
UCCCUGCAUUUGUGUAAAACAAUAAAAGUAAGGUUUUUGAAAAUGAUCCUAUGAGUCUUUGGUUUCAGUGACUUGAUAUUAGCAAUGGAUAUUGUAUGAAUGUGCUUGCUGCAUCCUUGUUUGAAACAGUCCACUUCGUGUAGCUAAAUUGAUAGAACAAUGAGCAAAAGGCUUAUUACCUUGUUUAUAACUCAAUUCAUCAACCCCAAGACAUAGUCCUUGUGGAAUCAGCAUGUUCAUGGAACAGGCCUGCUAUAGCAACAGAUCGUCGUGGUACAUCCACUAGAAGAGCAGGAUAGUCGUGCACUAUGAAUACUGUUUUGGACAGAGCUGCUGUUUUCUUGCCAAAGUGAAAUCGAAUAAGAUCUUUGUUAUAAAAACAUUGGCAGCUACUGGGAUUUUUUUUCUGCUUAAGAAACUGCUGUCCUAUUUUAGUCUACAGUUUUUAAUUUUGUUAUCUUAAAAUUUAUAUCAGUGUAUUAUAAUACAUUUCUCAUUUCAG